Molecule: ribosomal RNA, 497 nt
Filed under: uncultured bacterium
Lineage: Bacteria
Description: partial 16S ribosomal RNA
Rfam family: Bacterial small subunit ribosomal RNA
Source: RNAcentral
GAUGAACGCUGGCGGCGUGCCUAAUACAUGCAAGUCGAGCGAACAGACGAGGAGCUUGCUCCUCUGACGUUAGCGGCGGACGGGUGAGUAACACGUGGAUAACCUACCUAUAAGACUGGUAUAACUUCGGGAAACCGGAGCUAAUACCGGAUAAUCUAUUGAACCGCAUGGUUCAAUAGUGAAAGACGGUUUUGCUGUCACUUAUAGAUGGAUCCGCGCCGCAUUAGCUAGUUGGUAAGGUAACGGCUUACCAAGGCAACGAUGCGUAGCCGACCUGAGAGGGUGAUCGGCCACACUGGAACUGAGACACGGUCCAGACUCCUACGGGAGGCAGCAGUAGGGAAUCUUCCGCAAUGGGCGAAAGCUUGACGGAGCAACGCCGCGUGAGUGAUGAAGGUCUUCGGAUCGUAAAACUCUGUUAUUAGGGAAGAACAAAUGUGUAAGUAACUAUGCACGUCUUGACGGUACCUAAUCAGAAAGCCACGGCUAACUACGUG